GAUGAACGCUGGCGGCGUGCCUAAUACAUGCAAGUCGAGCGAACGGACGAGAAGCUUGCUUCUCUGAUGUUAGCGGCGGACGGGUGAGUAAUACGUGGAUAACCUACCUAUAAGACUGGGAUAACUUCGGGAAACCGGAUCUAAUACCGGACGAUAUUUUGAACCGCAUGGUUCAAAAGUGAAAGACGGUCUUGCUGUCACUUAUAGAUGGAUCCGCGCUGCAUUAGCUAGUUGGUAAGGUAACGGCUUACCAAGGCAACGAUGCAUAGCCGACCUGAGAGGGUGAUCGGCCACACUGGAACUGAGACACGGUCCAGACUCCUACGGGAGGCAGCAGUAGGGAAUCUUCCGCAAUGGGCGAAAGCCUGACGGAGCAACGCCGCGUGAGUGAUGAAGGUCUUCGGAUCGUAAAACUCUGUUAUUAGGGAAGAACAUAUGUGUAAGUAACUGUGCACAUCUUGACGGUACCUAAUCAGAAGGCCACGGCUAACUACGUG
RNAcentral lists this ribosomal RNA (497 nucleotides) under uncultured bacterium. Its description in RNAcentral is "partial 16S ribosomal RNA". It matches the Rfam family "Bacterial small subunit ribosomal RNA", at positions 28 to 507 of the family's 1533-position model. The record is from RNAcentral.